This 424-nucleotide ribosomal RNA is filed under the name Verrucomicrobiota bacterium. RNAcentral describes it as "Verrucomicrobia bacterium partial 16S ribosomal RNA". It matches the Rfam family "Bacterial small subunit ribosomal RNA", at positions 355 to 776 of the family's 1533-position model. Lineage: Bacteria; Pseudomonadati; Verrucomicrobiota. The record is from RNAcentral.
UGAGGCAUAUUGGUCAAUGGACGAGUGUCUGAACCAGCCAAGUAGCGUGCAGGAUGACGGUCCUAUGGGUUGUAAACUGCUUUUGCUUGUGAAUAAUCGUCAUUACGUGUAAUGUUUUGCAUGUACCAUUCGAAUAAGGACCGGCUAAUUCCGUGCCAGCAGCCGCGGUAAUACGGAAGGUCCAGGCGUUACCCGGAUUUAUUGGGUUUCAAGGGAGUGUAGGCGGUUGGUUAAGCGUGUUGUAAAAUGUAGAUGCUCAACAUCUGACGUGCGGCGCGAACUGGCUGACUUGGGUACACACAACGUAGGCGGAGUUCAUGGUGUAGCGGUGAAAAGCUUAGAUAUCAUGAAGAACUCCGAUUGCGAAGGCAGCUUACGGGAGUGUUACUGACGCUUAAGCUCGAAGGUGGGGGUAUCGAACAGG